RNAcentral lists this non-coding RNA (709 nucleotides) under Poteriostomum imparidentatum. The record is from RNAcentral. Lineage: Eukaryota; Metazoa; Nematoda; Chromadorea; Rhabditida; Strongylidae.
UAAAAUAAAGAGUGCUUUUAUAGAUUUUAAAUUUGAUUAUGGUUUAUAAAUUGUUAAAAUAGUAUUAUUUAAUUUUAAUUUAUUAAGUAGGCAAUAAAUAUUUACCUCGGUAAUUAAUUGUUUGUAUAAUACUUGUUCCAGAAUAAUCGGCUAGCCUGGUAAAAUUUAAACUUUUAUUUGAGUUAUAUUAAUAGUUUUGGCGCAUAAAUUUAAAAAAUCUUAAGGGUAAAUUUUGGAUUUUUUUUAAAGGGGAACCUAUGAGCUUACAUUCUGAUAAGCGAGUUAGAUUAGGGACCUAACUCGACCAGAAAUUAAUACGAGCCGAUGUAAGUAGUCAUCUCAACUCUAAGAGUAUUCGCGGCAUUUGCUAAUUAAGCUGUUGAGGGGGAGUGUUAAUUGAGAACCCCCUCUAAAACCUCUUAAAUUAGUGUCACAUAUGAUAUCGUUUUUUUUGCUUAAGGUAUAUAUUAUGAAAAUUUUAUUUUUUAUAAAAGAGAUAUAUUUGGUCUAUGUGGGGGUGUAAUUUGACCUACACUAAUUAAAGUUGUGGAUUGGUGUUUAAGUUAACACACAGAAAAUGUAAAAGACACUAUAAAAAAUUUUAUGAUUUUUUGAAGGGUACAUAGGGAUGGGGCACAUCAUCCACCACAAGCCCAAAGGGGAGUAAGUUGUAGUAAAGUAGAUUUAGGGGAACCUAAAUCUAGUAAUU